AGGAAUCAGUGGAUCCUGAUUGCUUUCCAUGCUGGGGCUGAGUGGUCAGCAUUGCAACAUUGAUAGCCAGGCUCUGCAUAACCCAAACAGAUGUCAUGCACCUGAAGUGGGAUGAGGUCAGCUUGGAGGAGUGGAUGAUGCAGGCUGGGGCUGGUGGAGCAGCUUUUGUUCCCCUGCACCCCAUGCACACGAGGACGACUUUGGCUGUGGUGGUGCCAACAUAGUGCCCUGAUACGCUGCCAGAGUGAACUGAAACCCAGACCCCA
RNAcentral lists this long non-coding RNA (266 nucleotides) under Columba livia (rock pigeon). RNAcentral describes it as "partial uncharacterized LOC102096847". Lineage: Eukaryota; Metazoa; Chordata; Aves; Columbiformes; Columbidae. The record is from RNAcentral.